AACGCUAGCUACAGGCUUAACACAUGCAAGUCGAGGGGUAACGAGGAGAGAGCUUGCUUUUUCCGUCGACGACCGGCGCACGGGUGAGUAACGCGUAUCCAACCUACCUUCAGCUAAGGAACAGCCCGUCGAAAGGCGGAUUAAUACCUUAUGUUGUUUCAUGAUGUCAUCAGAAAGAAACGAAAGAUUUAUCGGCUGAGGAUGGGGAUGCGUCUGAUUAGAUUGUUGGCGGGGCAACGGCCCACCAAGUCAUCGAUCAGUAGGGGUUCUGAGAGGAAGGUCCCCCACAUUGGAACUGAGACACGGUCCAAACUCCUACGGGAGGCAGCAGUGAGGAAUAUUGGUCAAUGGGCGAGAGCCUGAACCAGCCAAGUAGCGUGCAGGAUGACGGCCCUAUGGGUUGUAAACUGCUUUUACACGGGGAUAAAGUGGUCGACGUGUCGUCCAUUGCAGGUACCGUGCGAAUAAGGACCGGCUAAUUCCGUGCCAGCAGCCGCGGUAAUACGGAAGGUCCAGGCGUUAUCCGGAUUUAUUGGGUUUAAAGGGAGCGUAGGCCGUCUGUUAAGCGUGUUGUGAAAUGUAGAUGCUCAACAUCUGAAUUGCAGCGCGAACUGACAGACUUGAGUGCGCGGGAAGUAGGCGGAAUUCGUGGUGUAGCGGUGAAAUGCUUAGAUAUCACGAAGAACUCCGAUUG
This 694-nucleotide ribosomal RNA is filed under the name uncultured bacterium. Its description in RNAcentral is "bacterial SSU rRNA". It matches the Rfam family "Bacterial small subunit ribosomal RNA", at positions 32 to 715 of the family's 1533-position model. The record is from RNAcentral.